This 253-nucleotide ribosomal RNA is filed under the name uncultured bacterium. Its description in RNAcentral is "partial 16S ribosomal RNA". It matches the Rfam family "Bacterial small subunit ribosomal RNA", at positions 524 to 776 of the family's 1533-position model. The record is from RNAcentral.
UACGUAGGUGGCAAGCGUUGUCCGGAAUUAUUGGGCGUAAAGCGCGCGCAGGUGGUUUCUUAAGUCUGAUGUGAAAGCCCACGGCUCAACCGUGGAGGGUCAUUGGAAACUGGGGAACUUGAGUGCAGGAGAGAAGAGUGGAAUUCCACGUGUAGCGGUGAAAUGCGCAGAUAUCAGGAGGAACACCGGUGGCGAAGGCGGGUCUCUGGGCCGAAACUGACGCUGAGGAGCGAAAGCGUGGGGAGCAAACAGG